This is a long non-coding RNA of Melitaea cinxia (Glanville fritillary), 562 nucleotides long. RefSeq lists it as uncharacterized. The transcript has 3 exons. The record is from RefSeq and is a predicted model, not a curated record. Lineage: Eukaryota; Metazoa; Arthropoda; Insecta; Lepidoptera; Nymphalidae.
UAAAAUGUGCACAGAUAAUAAUUUAAAUCAAAAUCAAAUGCCUAUGAAUUUAAUUUUUACAAAAUGGCGAAAACUCAUUGCGUGUAAUCUUGAUUAUUUGUUUUCGUUCAAUUUUGUUGCUUUUUGGUUGUGAUUUCUAGUUUUUGCGUUGAGUUGAGCUUCGUAUUCCUCCGUAAAACUACUAGGACUUCGCCCCCGAUUCGAAAUAUAUAUUACCGGCCGGUAUAGUAUUUUAAGUUCCAAAAGACGUUAAUAAAAGAAUGUGUUUGUUUUGCGAAAAGGACCCUAUAAUAUUCUCGUGUUGUUUUGUGCUAGCAGUAUAUCAAGAUGCCGAGACGUUGUGUAUUAGGAUGUGAACCUUCUGGUAGGAUUCCUGCUAUUACACAACAAGAAACAAAUAUAAGCUCUGUUUCUGAAAGCUUAUCUACUGGGCCUUCAACUUCUUUCACAGUCUAUGCAACCUGUUAUGAGGAUUACAUAUGACGGUCAGGAUGAAACCAAACUUACUGCGAAAUUAUAUCAUGAAAAACAUAACCUUUAUAAAAAUAAAAAAUAAACAAAC